UGUCAUUAUCAUCCCUGGUAAAGAGCUUUACGACCCUAAGGCCUUCAUCACUCACGCGGCAUUGCUGGAUCAGGGUUGCCCCCAUUGUCCAAUAUUCCCCACUGCUGCCUCCCGUAGG
Molecule: ribosomal RNA, 118 nt
Filed under: uncultured bacterium
Lineage: Bacteria
Description: partial 16S ribosomal RNA
Source: RNAcentral